RNAcentral lists this ribosomal RNA (498 nucleotides) under uncultured bacterium. Its description in RNAcentral is "partial 16S ribosomal RNA". It matches the Rfam family "Bacterial small subunit ribosomal RNA", at positions 30 to 523 of the family's 1533-position model. The record is from RNAcentral.
AUUGAACGCUGGCGGCAUGCCUUACACAUGCAAGUCGAACGGUAACAGGUCUUCGGAUGCUGACGAGUGGCGAACGGGUGAGUAAUACAUCGGAACGUGCCUAGUAGUGGGGGAUAACUACUCGAAAGAGUGGCUAAUACCGCAUGAGAUCUACGGAUGAAAGCAGGGGAUCGCAAGACCUUGUGCUACUAGAGCGGCCGAUGGCAGAUUAGGUAGUUGGUGGGAUAAAAGCUUACCAAGCCGACGAUCUGUAGCUGGUCUGAGAGGACGAUCAGCCACACUGGGAGUGAGACACGGCCCAGACUCCUACGGGAGGCAGCAGGGGGGAAUUUUGGACAAUGGGCGAAAGCCUGAUGCAGCAAUGCCGCGUGCAGGAUGAAGGCCUUCGGGUUGUAAACUGCUGUUGUACGGAACGAAAAGCCCCGGGUUAAUACCCUGGGGUCAUGACGGUACCGUAAGAAUAAGCACCGGCUAACUACGUGCCAGCCGCCGCGGUAA